Molecule: unclassified non-coding RNA, 329 nt
Filed under: soil metagenome
Description: partial contains 5.8S ribosomal RNA, internal transcribed spacer 2, and large subunit ribosomal RNA
Rfam family: 5.8S ribosomal RNA (bases 1-120)
Source: RNAcentral
GAUGAAGAACGUAGCGAAAUGCGAUAAGUAAUGUGAAUUGCAGAAUUCAGUGAAUCAUCGAAUCUUUGAACGCACAUUGCGCCCCCUGGUAUUCCGGGGGGCAUGCCUGUUCGAGCGUCAUUUCACCACUCAAGCCUCGCUUGGUAUUGGGCAACGCGGUCCGCCGCGUGCCUCAAAUCGACCGGCUGGGUCUUCUGUCCCCUAAGCGUUGUGGAAACUAUUCGCUAAAGGGUGUUCGGGAGGCUACGCCGUAAAACAACCCCAUUUCUAAGGUUGACCUCGGAUCAGGUAGGGAUACCCGCUGAACUUAAGCAUAUCAAUAGCGGAGA